AAAGAGCCGAUUGUGUUGGAACGGGCAGAACCGGCACUGCUAUGCGGCAGACAGCACUACCCCUUGCCACUCCUAAGCUACUUAGGACCAUGACCGGACUGAGGUGCCAAGAACUCAAUCACAAAGGCAAUCUCAAUAACCAUGCAUGAAGGAGUAAAGAAAAGGAGGGGAAAAAAACGCCAGCUCCAAAGUACUCUUCUAAAAAUCGGCACUUGCCAUCUGCCACUACAAAGACUGAAUCACGUUGGCACUUGCCAUCUACCUCUGCUUGGAUUAAAUCAUGAACCGCUGCAGCCGCUGACCUCCAGCACUCCCAGAAAGGAGUUCAGGGUGGAGA
Camelus dromedarius (Arabian camel) is the source of this 337-nucleotide long non-coding RNA. RefSeq lists it as uncharacterized. The transcript is spliced from 3 exons. NCBI's taxonomy places the organism in Eukaryota, Metazoa, Chordata, Mammalia, Artiodactyla, Camelidae. The record is from RefSeq and is a predicted model, not a curated record.